Molecule: ribosomal RNA, 501 nt
Filed under: uncultured bacterium
Lineage: Bacteria
Description: partial 16S ribosomal RNA
Rfam family: Bacterial small subunit ribosomal RNA
Source: RNAcentral
AUUGAAGGCUGGCGGCAGGCUUAACACAUGCAAGUCGAGCGGGGGAAGGUAGCUUGCUACCGGACCUAGCGGCGGACGGGUGAGUAAUGCUUAGGAAUCUGCCUAUUAGUGGGGGACAACAUCUCGAAAGGGAUGCUAAUACCGCAUACGUCCUACGGGAGAAAGCAGGGGAUCUUCGGACCUUGCGCUAGUAGAUGAGCCUAAGUCGGAUUAGCUAGUGGGUGGGGUAAAGGCCUACCAAGGCGACGAUCUGUAGCGGGUCUGAGAGGAUGAUCCGCCACACUGGGACUGAGACACGGCCCAGACUCCUACGGGAGGCAGCAGUGGGGAAUAUUGGACAAUGGGGGGAACCCUGAUCCAGCCAUGCCGCGUGUGUGAAGAAGGCCUUAUGGUUGUAAAGCACUUUAAGCGAGGAGGAGGCUACUUUAGUUAAUACCUAGAGAUAGUGGACGUUACUCGCAGAAUAAGCACCGGCUAACUCUGUGCCAGCCGCCGCGGUAA